This 205-nucleotide long non-coding RNA is filed under the name Elaeis guineensis (African oil palm). RNAcentral describes it as "long non-coding RNA (EGUI_LNC000206)". Lineage: Eukaryota; Viridiplantae; Streptophyta; Magnoliopsida; Arecales; Arecaceae. The record is from RNAcentral.
UCUCAAGAUCGUGCGAUCUCGCAGCUAACAAUCCAGCUGUCCAACAUCCUUCUAUAUAAACAACCAGAGUCAUAAGGAUCCAGAUAAGUCCAAUUCCUCUUAGAGAACCUGUUGCUACUUCUUUGUUCUCUGCUUGUCUGAUUUGAGCGUCGGAGGAUCCUCGUCGGAGCCACAACCUCUGAUUUGAAAUUUAUUUUGUAGGUCA